RNAcentral lists this small nucleolar RNA (166 nucleotides) under Amazona aestiva (blue-fronted amazon). RNAcentral's name for it is "Small Cajal body specific RNA 1". It matches the Rfam family "Small Cajal body specific RNA 1". From Rfam's summary of the family: scaRNAs are a specific class of small nuclear RNAs which localise to the Cajal bodies and guide the modification of RNA polymerase II transcribed spliceosomal RNAs U1, U2, U4, U5 and U12. ACA35 belong to the H/ACA box class of guide RNAs as it has the predicted hairpin-hinge-hairpin-tail structure, conserved H/ACA-box motifs and is found associated with GAR1. Lineage: Eukaryota; Metazoa; Chordata; Aves; Psittaciformes; Psittacidae. The record is from Rfam by way of RNAcentral.
GAGCACUUGAUACUAACCAAGCCAUCCAUAUCCCAGGCCUUGUGCAGAGGUCUGUGGUAUGCCAUGUGAUUGCUGGGUCUGAAAAGUGCUACAUUAAAACAAGCCAUGAAGUGUUUAAGCUCAGUGUGUAAAGGAAGACACUGGGUUAUAACUCAGAGGCACAGCA